RNAcentral lists this ribosomal RNA (468 nucleotides) under uncultured bacterium. RNAcentral's name for it is "bacterial SSU rRNA". It matches the Rfam family "Bacterial small subunit ribosomal RNA", at positions 28 to 507 of the family's 1533-position model. The record is from RNAcentral.
GAUGAACGCUAGCGGCAGGCUUAAUACAUGCAAGUCGAGGGGGAUUAGUUGUCUAGCAAUAGAUGGCUAUGAGACCGGCAAACGGGUGCGGAACACGUACGCAACCUUCCCAAAACUGGUGAAUAGCCCUCCGAAAGGAGGAUUAAUACACCGUAACUUAAUGAGGUGGCAUCACUUUAUUAAUAUAGCUCCGGCGGUUUUGGAUGGACGUGCGCCUGAUUAGGUAGUUGGCGGGGUAACGGCCCACCAAGCCUACGAUCUGUAGCUGGUCUGAGAGGAUGAUCAGCCACACUGGGACUGAGACACGGCCCAGACUCCUACGGGAGGCAGCAGUGGGGAAUCUUGGACAAUGGGCGCAAGCCUGAUCCAGCCAUGCCGCGUGGAUGAUGAAGGCCUUAGGGUUGUAAAAUCCUUUCAACGGGGACGAUAAUGACGGUACCCGUAGAAGAAGCCCCGGCUAACUUCGUG